Molecule: long non-coding RNA, 265 nt
Organism: Bombus terrestris (buff-tailed bumblebee)
Lineage: Eukaryota; Metazoa; Arthropoda; Insecta; Hymenoptera; Apidae
Exons: 2
Source: RefSeq, a predicted model, not a curated record
AAAUUAAGUUUUAAAUCUUGAAAUUAUACAGUUAUCUUAUUGAGAAAUGAGCAAAUCAAAUCGGACAAACAGACCCGGUCAUAUACCAAUAGGAAAUAAAAAUACACAGGAUACUAACCAUCGAUAUUAUAAAGAAUUUUAUGAACGAUUAAAUUUAUCUAUCGAUGAUUAUGUAAAUAUAACCUUACUACGGUUUACUUAUAUACAACAGUAAUUUAAAUAAAUUUAUGUGAGUAAAAUAUGAAAUAAAUUCUGUAUUACAUAA